AGCGAACGCUGGCGGCAGGCCCAACACAUGCAAGUCGAACGCCCAGCAAUGGGAGCGGCAGACGGUUGAGUAACGCGUGAGGAGGUGCCCAAUGGUACGGAAUAACCCAGGGAAAGCUGAACUAAUACAGGAUGUUCCCUUCGUGGCAAAGUUUUAACGACAUUGUAUCAACCCGCGUCGGAUUUGAUAGUUGGUGAGGUAAAGGGUCACCAAGGCGACGAUCCGUAGGUGGUCUGAGAGGAUGAUCAGCCACACUGGGACUGAGACACGGACCAGACUCCUACGGGAGGCAGCAGUGGGGAAUAUUGGACAAUGGGCGCAAGACUGAUCCAGCUAUGCCGCGUGUGUGAUGAAGGCGUUAGGGUUGUAAAGCACUUUCGCCGGUGAAGAUAAUGACGGUAAUCGGAGAAGAAGACCCGGCUAACUUCGUGCCAGCAGCCGCCGCAG
RNAcentral lists this ribosomal RNA (447 nucleotides) under uncultured bacterium. RNAcentral describes it as "partial 16S ribosomal RNA". It matches the Rfam family "Bacterial small subunit ribosomal RNA", at positions 29 to 523 of the family's 1533-position model. The record is from RNAcentral.